GGAAAACAGAGACCAGAGCCAGCUAAGAUUGAGGCCAUCACCCAGUGGCCCCAACCCCGGACUAAAACACAGGUCAUGGCGUUCUUGGGCACCGCAGGUUAUUACAGGAAAUUUGUAGCGGAAUACAGUGCCCUCGCCAAACCCCUGACAGACCUCACCAAAAAGUCCCUACCCCGACAAGUAGUCUGGUCCACUGAGUGUGAGGAGGCUUUCCAGAAACUCAAGGCUGCGUUAAGUGCAUCUCCUGUGUUGGCGGCACCUGAUCAUACUAAAAGGUUUCUCGUUCACACAGAUGCCUCAAUGUUUGGACUGGGAGCAGUAUUGAGCCAGGUGGGAGACGAUGGCAUGGAUCACCCGGUGGCGUAUCUGAGCAGAAAACUGUUACCACGCGAAGUCAGCUAUGCCACCGU
Molecule: non-coding RNA, 410 nt
Organism: Pelobates cultripes (western spadefoot toad)
Lineage: Eukaryota; Metazoa; Chordata; Amphibia; Anura; Pelobatidae
Source: the annotation of a GenBank genome assembly